RNAcentral lists this ribosomal RNA (398 nucleotides) under uncultured bacterium. RNAcentral describes it as "partial 16S ribosomal RNA". It matches the Rfam family "Bacterial small subunit ribosomal RNA", at positions 523 to 918 of the family's 1533-position model. The record is from RNAcentral.
AUACGUAGGGUGCGAGCGUUGUCCGGAAUUACUGGGCGUAAAGAGCUCGUAGGUGGUUUGUCGCGUCGUCUGUGAAAUUCCGGGGCUUAACUCCGGGCGUGCAGGCGAUACGGGCAUAACUUGAGUACUGUAGGGGAGACUGGAAUUCCUGGUGUAGCGGUGAAAUGCGCAGAUAUCAGGAGGAACACCGGUGGCGAAGGCGGGUCUCUGGGCAGUACCUGACGCUGAGGAGCGAAAGCAUGGGUAGCGACCAGGAUUAGAUACCCUGGUAGCCCAUGCCGUAAACGGUGGGCGCUAGGUGUAGGGGUCUUCCACGACUUCUGUGCCGUAGCUAACGCAUUAAGCGCCCCGCCUGGGGAGUACGGCCGCAAGGCUAAAACUCAAAGGAAUUGACGGGG